UAGGGAAUAUUAGUAAUGGGCGAAAGCCUGAACUAGCAACGCCGCGUGUGCGAAGAAGGCCUUCGGGUUGUAAAGCACUUUUUGAGAGGAUGAGGAAGGACGGUACUCUCGGAAUAAGUCUCGGCUAACUACGUGCCAGCAGCCGCGGUAACACGUAGGAGGCGAACGUUAUCCGGAUUUACUGGGCGUAAAGCGCGUGUAGGUGGUUUGGUAAGUAGGGCGUGAAAGCUCCUGGCUCAACUGGGAGAGGCCGUUCUAAACUGCCGAACUAGAGGAUGGUAGAGGGAGGUGGAAUUACGGGUGUAGCGGUGGAAUGCGCAGAUAUCCGGAGGAACACCAGUGGCGAAAGCGGCCUCCUGGACCACUCCUGACACUCAGACGCGAAAGCUAGGGUAGCAAACGG
This 403-nucleotide ribosomal RNA is filed under the name uncultured bacterium. Its description in RNAcentral is "bacterial SSU rRNA". It matches the Rfam family "Bacterial small subunit ribosomal RNA", at positions 355 to 775 of the family's 1533-position model. The record is from RNAcentral.